GACCUCGGAUCAGGCAGG
RNAcentral lists this ribosomal RNA (18 nucleotides) under Cordyceps morakotii. RNAcentral describes it as "partial 28S ribosomal RNA". The record is from RNAcentral. Lineage: Eukaryota; Fungi; Ascomycota; Sordariomycetes; Hypocreales; Cordycipitaceae.